Molecule: long non-coding RNA, 1023 nt
Organism: Triticum aestivum (bread wheat)
Lineage: Eukaryota; Viridiplantae; Streptophyta; Magnoliopsida; Poales; Poaceae
Exons: 7
Source: RefSeq, a predicted model, not a curated record
GCCGUGCAGGAUGGUCUGCUAAUUUCCCUGAUGCUUCAUCAGGUUUUGGAAGAAUCGGGCUAAGGGGUGAUUGUGCUCAGGUUUUGAUGCAGUGAGAUUCAGAUAAUUUUAAGAAACACAUGUAAAGGAGUCCAAACAGGACGGGCUCGGUGUACAUGGUUUUCAGUUAAUGCAGUUUAGGUCUAACCAGCACAAGUGGCAACAGGCAGUAGUGGAGAAGGCAUGAAGAGGCCCACAUAUGAAAAUCUCAACUAUUCUAGGAUUUUCGAGCUGCUGACCAUGUGAUUGGUAGCCGACGAUUUCUUCACGGGUUGCUGCUUUCUCAAGUUUUGCCUCACACAAAAGAGGGCUAGCAACACCUUUGACAGAAACAGCCAACAUUCAGUGCAAAUCCGGUAUAUUCUGGUUGUCUUCCAUUUAGUUGACGGCAUGCAAGACUGGUCUAAUGCAUCUACUGCUUGUUGACUUGGUUAUAUUUAUCUAUAAAGUGGCAAUGGUGCAGAAUAUACCCUCUGCCAUGGAAGGAGGUAUUUGAUGCUGUCAGAUGGCAUAUAGGUCAAUAAUGAGGUGACUGCCAGGGUAAUCUCAGGAAGGGACAACGACACAAAUUAACUUUGUUGACAAGCUCACGAUCACGGGGAACAAGCCGUCCUGCAGUAUUUCCAUGUACUGCAAGUUGACGGCAAGUUCAUUGUUGAUGCCAUGCAAUUUCUUACAAAAUACAUGUGGUACAGGUAAGCAUGCUAUUACCCGCCAUUGUGUGUGUUUUGCAUAUUUUUCUAUUCAAUACUAUGAAGUUUUCCUCUGUUAUGCUCUUCUCAGGUAUGAAGGCCGACACUGAUUAUCAAGUGGUAUGGCACUCUUCUUUAUCAGCUCUAUCCCAUCCUGUAGAGGCUUUGUGAAAAUAACUCCAUGUUAUCUUCUACAUAAUUUUGCAUUUCUUUGCAGAGAUAAGAUGUGAAUUUAUGGUAUAAGUUUCAAAAGUUUGGCAGAAUCCUUGAUCUAAAGUGAAAUAGAGUUGUA